Molecule: ribosomal RNA, 435 nt
Filed under: uncultured bacterium
Lineage: Bacteria
Description: partial 16S ribosomal RNA
Rfam family: Bacterial small subunit ribosomal RNA
Source: RNAcentral
AGCGAACGCUGGCGGCAGGCUUAACACAUGCAAGUCGAGCGGGCACUUUCGGGUGUCAGCGGCGGACGGGUGAGUAACGCGUGGGAACGUGCCCUCUGGUUCGGAAUAACUCAGGGAAACUUGAGCUAAUACCGGAUACGCCCUUUUGGGGAAAGGCUUGCUGCCGGAGGAUCGGCCCGCGUCUGAUUAGCUAGUUGGUGAGGUAACGGCUCACCAAGGCGACGAUCAGUAGCUGGUCUGAGAGGAUGAUCAGCCACACUGGGACUGAGACACGGCCCAGACUCCUACGGGAGGCAGCAGUGGGGAAUAUUGGACAAUGGGCGCAAGCCUGAUCCAGCCAUGCCGCGUGAGUGAUGAAGGCCUUAGGGUUGUAAAGCUCUUUUAUCCGGGACGUUAAUGACGGUACCGGAGGAAUAAGCCCCGGCUAACUUCGUG